AGUGAACGCUGGCGGCGUGCCUAAUACAUGCAAGUCGAACGGAGUGGCGCACGGGUGAGUAAUAUAUAGCUAAUCUGCCUAUUGCUGGAGGACAACAGUUAGAAAUGACUGCUCAUACCCCAUAGAAAGGGAUGAGACUAUAUCGUAUCAGCUAGUCAGUGGGGUAACGGCCUACCGAGGCUAUGACGCGUAACUGGUCUGAGAGGAUGAUCAGGAACAUUGGAAGUGAGACACGGGCCAAACACCUACGGGAAGCAGCAGGAGGGAAAAGUGCGCAAUGGGGGAAACCCAGACGCAGCAACGGCGCGUGGAGGAUGACACUUUGCGGAGCGUAAACGCCUAUUGUUAGGGAAGCGGUACCUAACGAAUAAGCAACGGCUAACUACGUGCCAGCAGCCGCGGUAAUAC
Molecule: ribosomal RNA, 408 nt
Filed under: uncultured bacterium
Lineage: Bacteria
Description: partial 16S ribosomal RNA
Rfam family: Bacterial small subunit ribosomal RNA
Source: RNAcentral